UUUGGUUAAGUUAGAAAGGGCGCACGGUGGAUGCCUUGACACUAGGAGUCGAUGAAGGACGGGACUAACGCCGAUAUGCUUCGGGGAGCUGUAAGUAAGCUUUGAUCCGAAGAUUUCCGAAUGGGGAAACCCACCAUACGUAAUGGUAUGGUAUCCUUAUCUGAAUACAUAGGGUAAGGAAGACAGACCCAGGGAACUGAAACAUCUAAGUACCUGGAGGAAGAGAAAGCAAAUGCGAUUUCCUGAGUAGCGGCGAGCGAAACGGAACAUAGCCCAAACCAAGAGGCUUGCCUCUUGGGGUUGUAGGACAUUCUAUACGGAGUUACAAAGGAACGAGGUAGACGAAGCGACCUGGAAAGGUCCGUCGUAGAGGGUAACAACCCCGUAGUCGAAACUUCGUUCUCUCUUGAAUGUAUCCUGAGUACGGCGGAACACGUGAAAUUCCGUCGGAAUCUGGGAGGACCAUCUCCCAAGGCUAAAUACUCCCUAGUGAUCGAUAGUGAACCAGUACCGUGAGGGAAAGGUGAAAAGCACCCCGGAAGGGGAGUGAAAGAGAUCCUGAAACCGUGUGCCUACAAAUAGUCAGAGCCCGUUAAUGGGUGAUGGCGUGCCUUUUGUAGAAUGAAC
This 627-nucleotide ribosomal RNA is filed under the name Bacillus anthracis (anthrax bacterium). RNAcentral describes it as "bacterial LSU rRNA". It matches the Rfam family "Bacterial large subunit ribosomal RNA", at positions 1 to 620 of the family's 2925-position model. Lineage: Bacteria; Bacillati; Bacillota; Bacilli; Caryophanales; Bacillaceae. The record is from RNAcentral.